UUAUGGCUCAGAACGAACGCUGGCGGCAGGCUUAACACAUGCAAGUCGAGCGAUCGCAGCAAUGCGGGAGCGGCAGACGGGUGAGUAACGCGUGGGAACGUACCCCCUCGGUUCGGAAUAACUCAGGGAAACUUGAGCUAAUACCGGAUACGGCUUAGCGGCGAAAGAUUUAUCGCCGGAGGAUCGGCCCGCGUUCGAUUAGCUAGUUGGUGAGGUAACGGCUCACCAAGGCGACGAUCGAUAGCUGGUCUGAGAGGAUGAUCAGCCACAUUGGGACUGAGACACGGCCCAAACUCCUACGGGAGGCAGCAGUGGGGAAUAUUGGACAAUGGGCGCAAGCCUGAUCCCAGCCAUGCCGCGUGAGUGAUGACGGCCUUAGGGUUGUAAAGCUCUUUCGCUAGGGACGAUAAUGACGGUACCUAGAUAAGAAGCCCCGGCUAACUUCGUGCCAGCCGCCGC
RNAcentral lists this ribosomal RNA (459 nucleotides) under uncultured bacterium. RNAcentral describes it as "bacterial SSU rRNA". It matches the Rfam family "Bacterial small subunit ribosomal RNA", at positions 17 to 518 of the family's 1533-position model. The record is from RNAcentral.